GACGAACGCUGGCGGCGUGCCUAAUACAUGCAAGUAGAACGCUGAAGGAGGAGCUUGCUUCUCUGGAUGAGUUGCGAACGGGUGAGUAACGCGUAGGUAACCUGCCUGGUAGCGGGGGAUAACUAUUGGAAACGAUAGCUAAUACCGCAUAAGAGUAGAUGUUGCAUGACAUUUGCUUAAAAGGUGCAAUUGCAUCACUACCAGAUGGACCUGCGUUGUAUUAGCUAGUUGGUGAGGUAACGGCUCACCAAGGCAACGAUACAUAGCCGACCUGAGAGGGUGAUCGGCCACACUGGGACUGAGACACGGCCCAGACUCCUACGGGAGGCAGCAGUAGGGAAUCUUCGGCAAUGGACGGAAGUCUGACCGAGCAACGCCGCGUGAGUGAAGAAGGGUUUCGGAUCGUAAAGCUCUGUUGUAAGAGAAGAACGAGUGUGAGAGUGGAAAGUUCACACUGUGACGGUAUCUGACCAGAAAGGGACGGCUAACUACGUG
This 495-nucleotide ribosomal RNA is filed under the name uncultured bacterium. Its description in RNAcentral is "partial 16S ribosomal RNA". It matches the Rfam family "Bacterial small subunit ribosomal RNA", at positions 28 to 507 of the family's 1533-position model. The record is from RNAcentral.